GCGCUGCACCGUGGGCUGCUUGGUGCCUAGCUGACUCCUGCGCUAGGUCCUGUCUCAUCCUGUGGUGUACCAUUGGCCAUUGCCAUUCUCUCUGGUCUUUUAUCACCAUUUUUUUUGCCGCACGCCGCUGCUCAAGGGCCCGCGUAGACGGACGGUCCCAUUUGUCUGUUGGAUGGGUGUAUGCUGCGUGCGUCUGCCCCUCCCUCGCUGCCGGCGUACUGUGGCUGAUGCACGGACCACACCGACGUGCGAGCGCCGCGGCAUGGUCGCGCGCGAUAGGGCCCUGAGGACGAGGCGUGCGCGUCCACGAUCCUGGUGACGGCUGGAGGGAAGCCCCGGGAGCUGCCGUUCGCGCUGCUGGCGGAGCGGUGGAUGGUGGUGGCCUUGGUGGGGGCCACCGCGGCGCGGGAUGGGUAUGAACGCGGUGGCGGCGGCGAGCGAGCGGGAGAACACACUGCUCUCCUUUGGCCGCGCUGCCGACCACGCGGCCGUCGCCAUGGUCGAGUUCGACGUCCAGCUUGUUUAAGCUUGGACUCUCGUCGGCUCGUCUCGCUUCCUUCGACUGUACUCUGCUGCGAUCUAUUGUGGUGACCCUUGUUUGCUCGAUGGGCGACGCUGGUUCAGUUUGUUUCGACUUGCCGUUGUCGCCUGCGUCGACGCGUGUGUCUUUCUGUCCUUCGCGUUCAGGUUGUACGAUCUCGCCCGUUGCUGCGUUCACGUUCUGCUCGUUGCUUCGUCUCUGUUUUACUCAUCAAGGAGAUGGCAGCAGUAUAUACAAAAUAUAUCACUAAUUAUUUGUAGAGUUCAUUCUUGAUAGGAAAAAAA
This is an RNA transcript of Triticum aestivum (bread wheat), 825 nucleotides long. RefSeq lists it as uncharacterized. The transcript is spliced from 5 exons. NCBI's taxonomy places the organism in Eukaryota, Viridiplantae, Streptophyta, Magnoliopsida, Poales, Poaceae. The record is from RefSeq and is a predicted model, not a curated record.